RNAcentral lists this ribosomal RNA (253 nucleotides) under uncultured bacterium. RNAcentral's name for it is "partial 16S ribosomal RNA". It matches the Rfam family "Bacterial small subunit ribosomal RNA", at positions 524 to 776 of the family's 1533-position model. The record is from RNAcentral.
UACGGAGGGUGCGAGCGUUGUCCGGAAUCAUUGGGCGUAAAGGGCGCGUAGGUGGCCUGGUCAGUUCGUGGUGAAAGCGCGGGGCUCAACUCCGCGUCGGCCAUGAAUACUGCUGGGCUUGAGCACUGUAGAGGCAGGCGGAAUUCCGGGUGUAGCGGUGGAAUGCGUAGAGAUCCGGAAGAACACCGGUGGCGAAGGCGGCCUGCUGGGCAGUGGCUGACACUGAGGCGCGAAGGCGUGGGGAGCGAACGGG